Molecule: ribosomal RNA, 258 nt
Filed under: uncultured bacterium
Lineage: Bacteria
Description: partial 16S ribosomal RNA
Rfam family: Bacterial small subunit ribosomal RNA
Source: RNAcentral
CGGCGGACGGGUGAGUAACGCGUGGGUAACCUGCCCCAUACAGGGGGAUAACAGUUAGAAAUGACUGCUAAUACCGCAUAAGCGCACAGGACCGCAUGGUCAAGUGUGAAAAACUCCGGUGGUAUGAGAUGGACCCGCGUCUGAUUAGCUGGUUGGUGAGGUAACGGCCCACCAAGGCGACGAUCAGUAGCCGACCUGAGAGGGUGGCCGGCCACAUUGGGACUGAGACACGGCCCAAACUCCUACGGGAGGCAGCAG